Long non-coding RNA from Bufo bufo (common toad), 280 nucleotides. RefSeq lists it as uncharacterized. NCBI's taxonomy places the organism in Eukaryota, Metazoa, Chordata, Amphibia, Anura, Bufonidae. The record is from RefSeq and is a predicted model, not a curated record. The transcript is spliced from 2 exons.
UUGGAUUUAUUUUGUGGUGGCUUUUCUUGUAUUUUAGAAUGGAGAGAUCAUACCUGUUGAUGUAAAUGUUGGUGAAAAAGUUCUUCUUCCCGAAUAUGGAGGAACCAAAGUUGUGCUUGAUGAUAAGGAAUACUAUUUAUUCAGAGAUGGUGACAUUUUAGGAAAAUUCCUGCCAUAACUGCAAUUAUUUUUUUUUUGCCUUUUUCUCCAUUCCAAAGGCUAUUGGAAGCUAACAUGAUGUAAUUAUUGUAAUGUAUUUGCUACAAUAAAAUUAUAAAAA